This 253-nucleotide ribosomal RNA is filed under the name uncultured bacterium. RNAcentral describes it as "partial 16S ribosomal RNA". It matches the Rfam family "Bacterial small subunit ribosomal RNA", at positions 524 to 776 of the family's 1533-position model. The record is from RNAcentral.
GACGAACCGUACGAACGUUAUUCGGAAUUACUGGGCUUAAAGGGUGCGUAGGCUGCGCGGAAAGUUGGGUGUGAAAUCCCUCGGCUCAACCGAGGAACUGCGCCCAAAACUACCGUGCUCGAGGGAGACAGAGGUGAGCGGAACUUAGGGUGGAGUGGUGAAAUGCGUUGAUAUCCUAAGGAACACCCGUGGCGAAAGCGGCUCACUGGGUCUCUUCUGACGCUGAGGCACGAAAGCUAGGGUAGCGAACGGG